This 91-nucleotide transfer RNA is filed under the name Bdellovibrionales bacterium. Its description in RNAcentral is "tRNA-Leu". It matches the Rfam family "tRNA". Rfam says of the family: Transfer RNA (tRNA) molecules are approximately 80 nucleotides in length. Lineage: Bacteria; Pseudomonadati; Bdellovibrionota; Bdellovibrionia; Bdellovibrionales. The record is from RNAcentral.
GCCUGGGUGGUGGAAUUGGUAGACACAAGGGAUUUAAAAUCCCUCGGAUCCUCAACGGUCCGUGCGAGUUCAAGUCUCGCCCUAGGCACCA